GAUGAACGCUGGCGGCGUGCCUAAUACAUGCAAGUCGAGCGAACGGACGAGAAGCUUGCUUCUCUGAUGUUAGCGGCGGACGGGUGAGUAACACGUGGAUAACCUACCUAUAAGACUGGGAUAACUUCGGGAAACCGGAGCUAAUACCGGAUAAUAUUUUGAACCGCAUGAUUCAAAAGUGAAAGACGGUCUUGCUGUCACUUAUAGAUGGAUCCGCGCUGCAUUAGCUAGUUGGCAAGGUAACGGCUUACCAAGGCAACGAUGCAUAGCCGACCUGAGAGGGUGAUCGGCCACACUGGAACUGAGACACGGUCCUGACUCCUACGGGAGGCAGCAGUAGGGAAUCUUCCGCAAUGGGCGAAAGCCUGACGGAGCAACGCCGCGUGAGUGAUGAAGGUCUUCGGAUCGUAAAACUCUGUUAUUAGGGAAGAACAUAUGUGUAAGUAACUGUGCACAUCUUGACGGUACCUAAUCAGAAAGCCACGGCUAACUACGUG
RNAcentral lists this ribosomal RNA (497 nucleotides) under uncultured bacterium. RNAcentral describes it as "partial 16S ribosomal RNA". It matches the Rfam family "Bacterial small subunit ribosomal RNA", at positions 28 to 507 of the family's 1533-position model. The record is from RNAcentral.